This 894-nucleotide ribosomal RNA is filed under the name uncultured bacterium. RNAcentral describes it as "bacterial SSU rRNA". It matches the Rfam family "Bacterial small subunit ribosomal RNA", at positions 1 to 879 of the family's 1533-position model. The record is from RNAcentral.
CUUUUGAGAGGAAACAGAUUGAACGCUUGUCCGAAUGCUUUACACAUGCAAGUCGAACGAUGAUUUCUAGCUUGCUAGAAUGAUUAGUGGCGAACGGGUGAGUAAUGUAUCGGAACGUAUCCAUAAUGGGGGAUAACUAAUCGAAAGGUUGGCUAAUACCGCAUACGCCCUACGGGGGAAACGCAGGGGUAUCUUCGGGACCCUUGCGUUAAAUGGAGCGGCCGAUAUCUGAAUUAGCUAGUUGGUGGAGGUAAAAAAGCUCCACCCAAGGCGACGGAUCAGUAGCUGGUCUGAUGAGGACGACCCAGCCCACACUGGAACUGAGACACGGUCCAUACUCCUACGGGAGGCAGCAGUGGGGGAAUUUUGGACAAUGGGCGAAAGCCUGAUCCAGCCAUUCCGCGUGAGUGAAGAAGGCCUUCGGGUUGUAAAGCUCUUUCGCAAGGGAAGAAACGAUGCAGUCGAAUAAACUGUGUUAAUGACGGAACCUUGAUAAGAAGCACCGGCUAACUACGUGCCAGCAGCCGCGGUAAUACGUUAGGGUGCAAGCGUUAAUCGGAAUUACUGGGCGUAAAGCGUGCGCAGGCGGUUUUGUAAGUCAGAUGUGAAAAUCCCCCGAGCCUCAACUUGGGGAACUGCGCUUGAAACUACAAGACUAGAAUAUGUCAGAGGGGGGUAGAAUUCCACGGGUAGCAGUGAAAUGCGUAGAGAUGUGGAGGAAUACCAAUGCGAAGGCACCCCCUUGGGAUAAUAUUGACGCUCAUGCACGAAAGCGUGGGGAGCAAACAGGAUUAGAUACCCUGGUAGUCCACGCCCUAAACGAUGUCUACUAGUUGUUGGUGGAGUAAAAUCCAUGAGUAACGCAGCUAACGCGUGAAGUAGACCUCCUGGGGA